This 468-nucleotide ribosomal RNA is filed under the name uncultured bacterium. Its description in RNAcentral is "partial 16S ribosomal RNA". It matches the Rfam family "Bacterial small subunit ribosomal RNA", at positions 28 to 507 of the family's 1533-position model. The record is from RNAcentral.
GACGAACGCUGGCGGCGUGCUUAACACAUGCAAGUCGAACGGAAGGGCCCUGCUUUUGUGGGGUGCUCGAGUGGCGAACGGGUGAGUAACACGUGAGUAACCUGCCCUUGACUUUGGGAUAACUUCAGGAAACUGGGGCUAAUACCGGAUAGGAGCUCCUGCUGCAUGGUGGGGGUUGGAAAGUUUCGGCGGUUGGGGAUGGACUCGCGGCUUAUCAGCUUGUUGGUGGGGUAGUGGCUUACCAAGGCUUUGACGGGUAGCCGGCCUGAGAGGGUGACCGGCCACAUUGGGACUGAGAUACGGCCCAGACUCCUACGGGAGGCAGCAGCGGGGAAUAUUGCACAAUGGGCGGAAGCCUGAUGCAGCAACGCCGCGUGCGGGAUGACGGCCUUCGGGUUGUAAACCGCUUUCGCCUGUGACGAAGCGUGAGUGACGGUAAUGGGUAAAGAAGCACCGGCUAACUACGUG